GACCCAGAACUCCUACGGGAGGCAGCGGUGGGGAAUAUUGGGCAAUGGGCGCAAGCCUGACCCAGCAACGCCGCGUGAAGGAAGAAGGCUUUCGGGUUGUAAACUUCUUUUCUCAGGGACGAAGCAAGUGACGGUACCUGAGGAAUAAGCCACGGCUAACUACGUGCCAGCAGCCGCGGUAAUACGUAGGUGGCAAGCGUUAUCCGGAUUUACUGGGUGUAAAGGGCGUGUAGGCGGGGGCGCAAGUCAGAUGUGAAAACCAUGGGCUCAACCUGUGGCCUGCAUUUGAAACUGUGUUUCUUGAGUGCUGGAGAGGCAAUCGGAAUUCCGUGUGUAGCGGUGAAAUGCGUAGAUAUACGGAGGAACACCAGUGGCGAAGGCGGAUUGCUGGACAGUAACUGACGCUGAGGCGCGAAAGCGUGGGGAGCAAACAGGAUUAGAUACCCGCGUACC
RNAcentral lists this ribosomal RNA (453 nucleotides) under uncultured bacterium. RNAcentral's name for it is "bacterial SSU rRNA". It matches the Rfam family "Bacterial small subunit ribosomal RNA", at positions 328 to 794 of the family's 1533-position model. The record is from RNAcentral.